This 265-nucleotide long non-coding RNA is filed under the name Pogona vitticeps (central bearded dragon). RNAcentral's name for it is "lncRNA (ENSPVIG00000022570.1)". Lineage: Eukaryota; Metazoa; Chordata; Lepidosauria; Squamata; Agamidae. The record is from RNAcentral.
AUGGCAUUUCCUUUCCUGUAUUCAUGGUGGCAUGAUUCGAGUCUAGACUGUGUAGAUGAUGUCCCGGAAGAAGAUGUGCAGCUUGACAACAAUGUGGAGGAGGAGGAGGAUGUCUGCUGGUUUUUAGUACAAAUCUUACUUGGUUAUAUUUUGGUUGUUGGCCUUUUAAGGAUCCUCUAUCUCUUUAGGAAUAUGAUAAGGAAACACCGUGGACAUCUAUCUUGGAAUAGGCUGAAAUGUUCCAAAGACCCUGUUUCUGGCUUCA